Molecule: ribosomal RNA, 245 nt
Filed under: uncultured bacterium
Lineage: Bacteria
Description: partial 16S ribosomal RNA
Rfam family: Bacterial small subunit ribosomal RNA
Source: RNAcentral
UACGUAGGGUGCGAGCGUUAAUCGGAAUUACUGGGCGUAAAGCGUGCGCAGGCGGUGAGUUAAGUCUGAUGUGAAAGCCCCGGGCUCAACCUGGGAACGGCAUUGGAAACUGGCUUGCUAGAGUGUGGCAGAGGGGGGUGGAAUUCCGCGUGUAGCAGUGAAAUGCGUAGAGAUGCGGAGGAACACCGAUGGCGAAGGCAGCCCCCUGGGCCAACACUGACGCUCAGGCACGAAAGCGUGGGGAG